GAACGCGAAGAACCUUACCUACCCUUGACAUGCCAGGAAGCCCGCAGAGAUGUGGGUGUGCCCGAAAGGGAACCUGGACACAGGUGCUGCAUGGCUGUCGUCAGCUCGUGUCGUGAGAUGUUGGGUUAAGCCCCGCAACGAGCGCAACCCUUGCCAUUAGUUGCUACAUUCAGUUGGGCACUCUAAUGGGACCGCCGGUGACAAACCGGAGGAAGGUGGGGAUGACGUCAAGUCCUCAUGGCCCUUAUGGGUAGGGCUUCACACGUAAUACAAUGGUCGGUACAGAGGGCUGCCAACCCGCAAGGGGGAGCUAAUCCCAGAAAGCCGAUCGUAGUCCGGAUUGUAGUCUGCAACUCGACUGCAUGAAGCCGGAAUCGCUAGUAAUCGCGGAUCAGCAUGUCGCGGUGAAUACGUUCCCGGGUCUUGUACACACC
RNAcentral lists this ribosomal RNA (434 nucleotides) under uncultured bacterium. RNAcentral's name for it is "bacterial SSU rRNA". It matches the Rfam family "Bacterial small subunit ribosomal RNA", at positions 957 to 1391 of the family's 1533-position model. The record is from RNAcentral.